AUCUACGGCCAUGCCAUCCUGAAUGCACCCGAUCUCGUCUGCUCUCGGAACCUAAGCAAGGUCGGGCCUGGUUAGUACUUGGAUGGAGACCUGUAGGCAUUAAAAA
RNAcentral lists this ribosomal RNA (106 nucleotides) under Pteropus alecto (black flying fox). The record is from RNAcentral. Lineage: Eukaryota; Metazoa; Chordata; Mammalia; Chiroptera; Pteropodidae.